This is a long non-coding RNA of Diabrotica virgifera virgifera (western corn rootworm), 609 nucleotides long. RefSeq lists it as uncharacterized. The record is from RefSeq and is a predicted model, not a curated record. Lineage: Eukaryota; Metazoa; Arthropoda; Insecta; Coleoptera; Chrysomelidae. The transcript has 2 exons.
AAGUAGUUGCUAGUAGCAACCAGUGUGCGUCUUGGAAGAGUGUUGCCAUCGUAUACGCUAAAAGCUGAUUGGCUCCGCCAUCUUUUGCUCAGAUUUCCGGAUUAAUUUGGAAGGGGUAAACAGAUGAUCAGUUGUUUAUUUUUCGUUUACUCUGGUUUAACCUCACUUAACUAGAUAGAUCGAGAAAUAUUAAAUUACUAUUACUAUUAUUCAGGUUGAAAAAUGCCUUCUUCUAAGGUAAAAGGUUGCGAAGUCGAUUGGGGAAAAAUAAUGUGAAAAUGAAUUCUUUCCCAAAAGAAUCUGAACGACGGAAAGUGUGGAUUAAAAAUAUAGGGUUAAAACAAGAUCCAAACAAAUAUGCUGUUGUUUGUGAAAAAAACUGUAAAUAGUAUUUAAGGCAACGAUUGUGAAUGAGUGAGAAGUCUAAUAAAGCCACGACGAGAUACUGUAUUAGAGCGUACGAUUUGGAGGUAUUUUUGAUUAGAUACAUUUUGUAAAGUACAAUAUAAAUUAGAUUUGAUAAUGUGUAGUAUUUCCUAAUAAAUUAAAUACUAUUAAGUGUUUAUUGUUCUUGUAAGUUAGUGUGGUAAAUAAAUAAUAUGAAGUAAG